UAAUCAAACUAAUAUUUAAUUUUAUGUUUUGAUUUGGGUUUUGCUUCAGAUUCUUUGUUCAUUUUUUUUUAAUCUGGGAAUUGUUCUAAAUUUUGAUUGUUUAUGGGUUAUUUUAUCAGAAAAUUCCUUUCUGAUCCUCUUACUAAUUUGUGCAUAUUGCUAUACUUUAAGGAUUUAAUUGUAAAUUACCAUAUUGAAAUUCUAAAAAUAACUGAUCUGGUGUUGAUGUGGUGACAAAAUCAGAGAUAAUGCCAAAGAAUAAGGG
Molecule: unclassified non-coding RNA, 265 nt
Filed under: Hevea brasiliensis (rubber tree)
Lineage: Eukaryota; Viridiplantae; Streptophyta; Magnoliopsida; Malpighiales; Euphorbiaceae
Source: RNAcentral